This 148-nucleotide unclassified non-coding RNA is filed under the name uncultured Capnodiales. Its description in RNAcentral is "sequence contains ITS2". The record is from RNAcentral. Lineage: Eukaryota; Fungi; Ascomycota; Dothideomycetes; Capnodiales.
GUAACCUCAAGCUUUGCUUGGUAUUGGGCAACGCGGUCCGCCGCGUGCCUCAAAUCGUCCGGCUGGGUCUUCUGUCCCCUAAGCGUUGUGGAAACUAUUCGCUAAAGGGUGUUCGGGAGGCUACGCCGUAAAACAACCCCAUUUCUAA